UGAGACACGGCCCAGACUCCUACGGGAGGCAGCAGUGGGGAAUCUUAGACAAUGGGCGCAAGCCUGAUCUAGCCAUGCCGCGUGAGUGAUGAAGGCCUUAGGGUCGUAAAGCUCUUUCGCCUGUGAUGAUAAUGACAGUAGCAGGUAAAGAAACCCCGGCUAACUCCGUGCCAGCAGCCGCGGUAAUACGGAGGGGGUUAGCGUUGUUCGGAAUUACUGGGCGUAAAGCGCGCGUAGGCGGAUUAGAAAGUUGGGGGUGAAAUCCCGGGGCUCAACCCCGGAACUGCCUUCAAAACUCCCAGUCUAGAGUUCGAGAGAGGUGAGUGGAAUUCCGAGUGUAGAGGUGAAAUUCGUAGAUAUUUGGAGGAACACCAGUGGCGAAGGCGACUGUCUGGAC
RNAcentral lists this ribosomal RNA (397 nucleotides) under Alexandrium tamarense. RNAcentral's name for it is "partial Bacterial small subunit ribosomal RNA". It matches the Rfam family "Bacterial small subunit ribosomal RNA", at positions 320 to 734 of the family's 1533-position model. The record is from RNAcentral. Lineage: Eukaryota; Dinophyceae; Gonyaulacales; Pyrocystaceae.